AGAAAUUUGCGGACGAUCUCGACCGUCGAUUUGCAAACGAAGCCCGAUCGCCACGAAACCAGUGCCAUCGCGAAGCUUGAGCUGAGGAGAGUCGGGAUACAUCCUCCGAUCAUCCAUCCUCCGCCGGAGCUCGCCGGAAAAGUCCAAAAACACGGCUGCCACCACUUCGCCAGAACUCUCUCCUCCGGCCACCAAAACCGACGCCGCUGCCGCCAAAAGGAAGCUCUCUCCAAGGGGAGCUGAUCGCCACCGGGAUCGGCCGGAAAGGCCGCCGGAAACG
RNAcentral lists this long non-coding RNA (280 nucleotides) under Ricinus communis (castor bean). Its description in RNAcentral is "long non-coding RNA (RCOM_LNC002414)". Lineage: Eukaryota; Viridiplantae; Streptophyta; Magnoliopsida; Malpighiales; Euphorbiaceae. The record is from RNAcentral.